UAAGCGACUAAGCGUACACGGUGGAUGCCCUGGCAGUCAGAGGCGAUGAAGGGCGUGCUAAUCUGCGAUAAGCGCCGGUAAGGUGAUAUGAACCGUUAUAACCGGCGAUACCCGAAUGGGGAAACCCAGUGUGACUCGUCACACUAUCAUUAACUGAAUCCAUAGGUUAAUGAGGCGAACCGGGGGAACUGAAACAUCUAAGUACCCCGAGGAAAAGAAAUCAACCGAGAUUCCCCCAGUAGCGGCGAGCGAACGGGGAGGAGCCCAGAGCCUGAAUCAGCAUGUGUGUUAGUGGAAGCGUCUGGAAAGGCGCGCGAUACAGGGUGACAGCCCCGUACACAAAAGCGCAUGUGCUGUGAGCUCGAUGAGUAGGGCGGGACACGUGGUAUCCUGUCUGAAUAUGGGGGGACCAUCCUCCAAGGCUAAAUACUCCUGACUGACCGAUAGUGAACCAGUACCGUGAGGGAAAGGCGAAAAGAACCCCGGCGAGGGGAGUGAAAAAGAACCUGAAACCGUGUACGUACAAGCAGUGGGAGCACCCUUUGGGUGUGACUGCGUACCUUUUGUAUAAUGGGUCAGCGACUUAUAUUCUGUAGCAAGGUUAACCGAAUAGGGGAGCCGGAGGGAAACCGAGUCUUAACCGGGCGUUAAGUUGCAGGGUAUAGACCCGAAACCCGGUGAUCUAGCCAUGGGCAGGUUGAAGGUUGGGUAACACUAACUGGAGGACCGAACCGACUAAUGUUGAAAAAUUAGCGGAUGACCUGUGGCUGGGGGUGAAAGGCCAAUCAAACCGGGAGAUAGCUGGUUCUCCCCGAAAGCUAUUUAGGUAGCGCCUCGUGAAUUCAUCUCCGGGGGUAGAGCACUGUUUCGGCUAGGGGGCCAUCCCGGCUUACCAACCCGAUGCAAACUGCGAAUACCGGAGAAUGUUAUCACGGGAGACACACGGCGGGUGCUAACGUCCGUCGUGAAGAGGGAAACAACCCAGACCGCCAGCUAAGGUCCCAAAGUCAUGGUUAAGUGGGAAACGAUGUGGGAAGGCCCAGACAGCCAGGAUGUUGGCUUAGAAGCAGCCAUCAU
This 1077-nucleotide ribosomal RNA is filed under the name Salmonella enterica. RNAcentral's name for it is "partial 23S ribosomal RNA". It matches the Rfam family "Bacterial large subunit ribosomal RNA", at positions 1 to 1122 of the family's 2925-position model. Lineage: Bacteria; Pseudomonadati; Pseudomonadota; Gammaproteobacteria; Enterobacterales; Enterobacteriaceae. The record is from RNAcentral.